UUUAUUUACGUUUGCUCUUCAUCUCUGUUCAAAACCGUAACCGGCCAAAAGAGGGAAGAGCAGAGAGAUAGAGUGGUUUAUAGUGAGACGCAGACAUCGGUGCACCGGGCAACCAGCCGGCUCGCCAUAAAUCGUC
This is a non-coding RNA of Caenorhabditis elegans, 136 nucleotides long. Lineage: Eukaryota; Metazoa; Nematoda; Chromadorea; Rhabditida; Rhabditidae. The record is from Ensembl.